RNAcentral lists this ribosomal RNA (253 nucleotides) under uncultured bacterium. Its description in RNAcentral is "partial 16S ribosomal RNA". It matches the Rfam family "Bacterial small subunit ribosomal RNA", at positions 524 to 776 of the family's 1533-position model. The record is from RNAcentral.
UACGAAGGGGGCUAGCGGUGUUCGGAAUUACUGGGCGUAAAGCGCACGCAGGCGGAUUUAUAAGUCAGGGGUGAAAUCCCGGGGCUCAACCUCGGAAUUGCCUUUGAUACUGUCUAUCUUGAGUCCGGGAGAGGUGAGUGGAAUUCCUAGUGUAGAGGUGAAAUUCGUAGAUAUUAGGAAGAACACCAGUGGCGAAGGCGGCUCACUGGCCCGGUACUGACGCUCAUGUGCUAAAGCGUGGGGAGCAAACAGG